GACGAACGCUGGCGGCGUGCUUAACACAUGCAAGUCGAACGGAAAGGCCCUGCUUUUGUGGGGUGCUCGAGUGGCGAACGGGUGAGUAACACGUGAGUAACCUGCCCUUGACUUUGGGAUAACUUCAGGAAACUGGGGCUAAUACCGGAUAGGAGCUCCUGCUGCAUGGUGGGGGUUGGAAAGUUUCGGCGGUUGGGGAUGGACUCGGGGCUUAUCAGCUUGUUGGUGGGGUAGUGGCUUACCAAGGCUUUGACGGGUAGACGGCCUGAGAGGGUGACCGGCCACAGUGGGACUGAGAGACGGCCCAGACUCAUACGGGAGGCAGCAGUGGGGAAUGUUGCACAAUGGGCGGAAGCCUGAGGCAGCAACGCCGCGUGGGGGAUGACGGCCUUCGGGUUGUAAACCGCUUUCGCCUGUGACGAAGCGUGAGUGACGGUAAUGGGUAAAGAAGCACCGGCUAACUACGUG
Molecule: ribosomal RNA, 468 nt
Filed under: uncultured bacterium
Lineage: Bacteria
Description: partial 16S ribosomal RNA
Rfam family: Bacterial small subunit ribosomal RNA
Source: RNAcentral